Long non-coding RNA from Hirundo rustica (Barn swallow), 1357 nucleotides. RefSeq lists it as uncharacterized. The record is from RefSeq and is a predicted model, not a curated record. The transcript is spliced from 3 exons. NCBI's taxonomy places the organism in Eukaryota, Metazoa, Chordata, Aves, Passeriformes, Hirundinidae.
AGCUCCUGCCCUGGGAGCAGGUGAACUCCAUGCAGGCCUUGGCCAUGAGCUCUGGAAAGGCUCACCUGAAGCAGGUGAAUAUGCACAGAGUGAAAAUACGGGAUUUAGAAACCAAGGCUCCAGAAGGGAAAGCCUGUUCAAGUGCUAACCACCAGCAGUGGUCCUAAAGUUUGUGUCUGGUUGUGACGGCUGCAUCGGGCUCAAAGUGGAUUUGGAGGAGACAGGAUGAAAUGAAAGGGGGAAAAGUCAGACAAAUCUCAGGCUGCUUCAAGUGAUUCAGCCUUUUGAUGGAAAGUUCAAGAAGAAAUCUGUGCCCCACCUUGGCCCCACGGUCUCUAAGGAAAGGCAAUUCCACAUCACAGCUGGGGGUGUGACUGCAGCCUGGAAAAAAAGCAGCAGAGAUGCAGGUCUGGAAGUGUCAGGAGGUCACUACUGAGAGGUGACUGUAACCCUAAGAUGCUGCAGUUUAUAUUCCUGCUCCAUUAGCUCUGACAACAGACUUCAGAGACAAGAGUUUUCUCAAUCUGGUUUAUAAAUCAUGCUGGCAAAAAUGCACUGGGAUUUACUUGUGCGUAACAGGGAGUUCUGCAAGAAAAAUGAACCCUUUGAAUGAGAACUGAGGUGGGUGUGAAACAGAUGCUUGUCACCUAUGCAUUGCCCAAGUUUUGGGCUGGGUUUGUGGAAGCCCAGGAGAUAUUCCUCUUUUCCCCAGCCAGACCCAGACAGCUGAGAAGUCAGAGCUGGUGGGAUGAGACCAGCCCCAGCCUGGAAGCUGUUCACUGACACAUCAAUGCUGCACCAUCCACUUUGCUUCCCAGCAAACAGUGACGUGCCACAGCUUCCAAGCCUCGGGCUGCACUUACAUCAUCCUGCUCAGAACGGUGGAGAUUAAUUGUUUUUGUACCCAAAGAUUUCCUCUGCCCUUGGAAAGAUCUGCUUUCCAAAACCUCUUCAGUUUUUUUGUGAAAAUACGAGCCUUUAAAAAUAGCUGAACUGGUCACCCAGGAAGAGACCCACUCGAAAUCAUGGACUGUUUUUCAAAGCCUUGACCUUAAUGUCUGAAAGGAUGUUGCCUUCUGCAUAACCCAGGCAAUCCUACCAGGUGUUUGGGCUCGAAGCUGUGCCCGCGCAGUCCCUGGUGCACACAAGCUUUGUGUGGCACUGUGUCACAGUGUCACAAUGGCUCUGCAAGAGUGAGCUGCGUCACCUCCCCACUCAUGCAUCAGCAGCAAAGCUGGGAGCUCAGGGCUGGUGGCAGGACCUUUAUCAGCAGUGAUGAAUGGCAGAGGGGAUUUUCAUCUCUUUGAUUAAUUUUGCUGGGCUGACAGUUAGAAAGAUCACAUCUUGGCUCCUGCAC